RNAcentral lists this ribosomal RNA (2351 nucleotides) under Fragariocoptes setiger. RNAcentral describes it as "18S ribosomal RNA". It matches the Rfam family "Eukaryotic small subunit ribosomal RNA". The record is from RNAcentral. Lineage: Eukaryota; Metazoa; Arthropoda; Arachnida; Trombidiformes; Phytoptidae.
UACCUGGUUGAUCCUGCCAGUAGUCAUAUGCUUGUCUCGAAGAUUAAGCCAUGCAUGUCUAAGUACAUGCCUAACUAAGGCGAAACCGCGAAUGGCUCAUUAAAACAGUCAUGAUCUAUUUGAUGUUGACUGUCUACAUGGAUAACUGUGGUAAUUCUAGAGCUAAUACAUGCACAAAAGCCGCGACUUUUUACUAAGAAGCGGUGCGUUUAUUAGACCAAGACCAAUGGGUGCUUGCACCCUACAAAUAUGGUGACUCUGGAUAACUAAUGGCCUAAAAACCAUGAUGCUGACCCUAUGGCCCGUGGGCAACCACAUAGUGCCGAGGGCAAAUCAUUCGAGUGUCUGAUCUAUCAACUGUCGAUGGUAAAUUAUAUGUUUACCAUGGUUGUAACGGGUAACGGGGAGUUAGGGCUCGACUCCGGAGAGCAAGCCUGAGAAACGGCUAGCACAUCCAAGGAAGGCAGCAGGCGCGCAAAUUACUCAAUGCCAGCUCGGCGAAGUAGUGAAGAAAAAUAACGAUGUAGGUUCUUUUUAUAGGAUCUACAAUUGGAAUGAGUACACCGUAAAUACGUUAACGAGUACCAAUUGGAGGGCAAGUCUGGUGCCAGCAGCCGCGGUAAUUCCAGCUCCAAUAGCGUAUAUUAAAGUUGCUGCGGUUAAAAAGCUCGUAGUUGGAUUUCAGACCUAUUGUUAGCAAAGCUGCACUAUUCAACGGCUAUCGGUUUGGGGCGCGUUUAGGCGUUGCCACCGGGUCAUAGUCGGGUGUUAGCUAUUUGCUAGCUGGUCGUUUCGUCACUUUUUAUUAGGACGAAGCAGGCUGUAUCAUUGGCUAGUAGCAUCUCGUAUGUUACGCUACAAUGGUCAGCAUGUUUACCUUGAGAAAAUUAGAGUGCUCAAAGCAGACAUCGCGGGUCGCAAGGCUUGCAUUUAUGUUUGAAUAAUGUUGCAUGGAAUAAUAGAAUAUGGCCUCGGUUCUAUUCUGUUGGUCUUGUAGAACAACAAACAAGUUCAUAUGUUCAAUUCAUGUUGUUAGCUUGGUGGAUUAUUGUUUGUAUGGUUUUGGUUGCGAUAAGUUUAGUGUUAUCACGCUUUUAAGUGUGCAUCGCGAACCUAUUGUAACUACUCAAAUCAUGCAAACGUAGUCCCUCGUAAAGCCUUGCUAAUUAACACGAACAUGUGAAUCGAGGCAAUGGUUAAUAGGGACAGACGGGGGCAUUCGUACUGCUUCGCUAGAGGUGAAAUUCUUAGACCGAAGCAAGACGAACUAAAGCGAAAGCAUUUGCCUAGAAUGUUCUCAUUAAUCAAGAACGAAAGUUAGAGGUUCGAAGGCGAUCAGAUACCGCCCUAGUUCUAACCAUAAACGAUGCCAACUAGCAAUCAGGCUGAAUUUUUUAAAUAACAAAUGAUUCGCCUGGCGGCUUCGCGGGAAACCAAAGUUUUUCGGUUCCGGGGGAAGUAUGAUUGCAAAGUUGAAACUUAAAGGAAUUGACGGAAGGGCACCACCAGGGGUGGAGCCUGCGGCUUAAUUUGACUCAACACGGGGAAACUUACUAGAUUAGAACGCUGGAAUGAUUGACAGAUUAAUAGCUCUUUCUUGAUUCAGCGAGUGGUGGUGCAUGGCCGUUCUUGAUUCGUAGAAUGAUUCGUCUGCUUAAUUGCGAUAACGAGUGAGACCUCGACCUACUAACUAGUUUAGUUCAUCAUUUGGGAUAUCAAACGCUUUACGUUUUUGGCCUGUUGUGCGUGUAGCAAUAUGCGUAUGGCCGGUCAUGGCGUAGAGUAGGCCCACUGCUGGACUAUAACUUCUUAGCGGGAUAAACGGUGUUUUAGCCGUAAUAAAUGAGGCAAUAACAGGUCUGUGAUGCCCUUAGAUACUCUAGGCCGCACGCGUGCUACACUGGUAGAGGCAGCAUGCUUAAUUUAAACAAUUGCUUCGAAAUUCUACCAGCUUUCUGCGUAUACAGGAGGGGCAACCUUGAUCGUGUACGCACGUUGGCUGGUGUGAGUCGAGGAUUUAUUGUUUGAAAAAACCUUGGCUGAAAAGCCUGGGCAAUCCUUUGAAACUCUACCGUGAUUUGGGAUUGGGAAUUGCAAUUGUUUUCCAUGAACGAGGAAUCCCCAGUAAGCGCAAUUCAUCAUAUUGCGUUGAUUACGUCCCUGCCCUUUGUACACACCGCCCGUCGCUACUACCGAUUGAAUGAUUUAGUGAGGUCUUUGGACUGGCUUGCACGAUGAUUGAUCUCGGUCAUAUUAUUGUGCAAAGCUGGGAAGAUGAUCAAACUUGAUCAUUUAGAGGAAGUAAAAGUCGUAACAAGGUUUCCGUAGGUGAACCUGCGGAAGGAUCAUUA